UGUAAGGGUAGGAUUUUUCGUCAGUUUGGCCGCAGUUGGAAGCCAAGUAUUGCCAAGCCUCGUGUUCCCAUCCGCCAGAGCAGCCGUUAGCCCGGCUGCAGUCUAUUAUCUGCUGCUCGCUGAUAAGCAGUAAAAAGUGGCGGAAUGAGCCCAGCAACUACCACAUCUACCUUGGUUCCUUACCGGCGGCAUGCACGAAUCAUAGUACAACUGACUUACUCUGCUCAGUUGUCGCUCAGACGAGAUACCAGGCAAAUUGGAAGGUGGGACCGGUUCAAGUGCUCCGAAAAAAGAUUGCUGUUCGUCUUCAGUCUUUCAAAUGAACAAGGAAAGCAGACUUCAUGAUUCACCUUACGGAAAGAUUCAAAGUAGUUGUGCUCCGUAAUCUUGGCGUGCGUUUCUUCAAAGAUGGAUUUGCGUAUUCCUAAUUCGGCUUUCGUUUGAACUCCUAACGGGAAUUCGUCCUUUGGAGUGAAACUUCCACAUCGUCGGAAGCUUGGAUAUUAAUUGCCCCACAAAUAAGGACUAAGAUAUUUAUCGGCGGCUGCAAGUAUUCCGGCGGACAUCUUCCCCAUCGUUGACUCCGACAGACGACCAGUGUAGAUGAAGCGAAGGAUUUCGUUAAACACGGCCGGCUCGACGACUUCAACUUCGACUUGGUGACGCUUUUUGUUAUCAAGACCCCCAACGACUGCAAUUUACAAAAUAUAACCAGUGAAAUUCAAUAAUACUUGGAUGUCAGCAACCCAGCAACAAAAGUGAGUUUGAAUUUAAACCACAACUUUUUAGUUCUUAGAGAAAUCUUUGUCUUUCUUUGCAUGAACAACAUAAAUUGAUUGUUACGUAUAUACAAAAUAACGCAUGGAUUUAUUUAUAUUGAAUUUCCUCUGGAAAUAAUUAUUUGAUAACCAAUUUUUGUC
Molecule: long non-coding RNA, 920 nt
Organism: Daphnia pulex (common water flea)
Lineage: Eukaryota; Metazoa; Arthropoda; Branchiopoda; Diplostraca; Daphniidae
Exons: 7
Source: RefSeq, a predicted model, not a curated record